Molecule: ribosomal RNA, 358 nt
Filed under: uncultured bacterium
Lineage: Bacteria
Description: bacterial SSU rRNA
Rfam family: Bacterial small subunit ribosomal RNA
Source: RNAcentral
AGAGUUUGAUCCUGGCUCAGGAUGAACGCUAGCUACAGGCUUAACACAUGCAAGUCGAGGGGAAACGAUAUUGGAAGCUUGCUUCCGAUAGGCGUCGACCGGCGCACGGGUGAGUAACGCGUAUCCAACCUGCCCACCACUUGGGGAUAACCUUGCGAAAGUAAGACUAAUACCCAAUGACGUCUCUAGAAGACAUCUGAAAGAGAUUAAAGAUUUAUCGGUGAUGGAUGGGGAUGCGUCUGAUUAGCUUAUUGGCGGGGUAACGGCCCACAAGGGCUACGGAUCGGUAGGGGGUUCUGGAGAGGAAGGUCCCCCACAUUGGGAAACUGAGACACGGUCCAAACUCCUACGGGAGGCA